RNAcentral lists this small RNA (17 nucleotides) under Arabidopsis thaliana (thale cress). Its description in RNAcentral is "ATSL305620". The record is from RNAcentral. Lineage: Eukaryota; Viridiplantae; Streptophyta; Magnoliopsida; Brassicales; Brassicaceae.
GAAGAAGAAAGAAGACG